Molecule: ribosomal RNA, 396 nt
Filed under: Trinectes maculatus (hogchoker)
Lineage: Eukaryota; Metazoa; Chordata; Actinopteri; Pleuronectiformes; Achiridae
Description: partial 16S ribosomal RNA
Rfam family: Bacterial large subunit ribosomal RNA
Source: RNAcentral
AAUCACUUGUCUUUUAAAUGAAGACCCGUAUGAAAGGCUUGACGAAGGCUUAACUGUCUCCUCUUUCCAGUCAAUGAAACUGAUCUCCCCGUGCAGACGCGGGGAUAAAAACAUAAGACGAGAAGACCCUAUGGAGCUUUAGACACAAAGACAGACUAUUUUAAACACCCCUAAACAAGCACUAAAUCCAGUAAGAACCUGUCCCCGUCUUAGGUUGGGGCGACCCUGGGGAAAUACAAAACCCCCAUGUGGAGGGAGGACCUACCACUUAGACCCUCUUAAAAACCCGAAACACAAUUCUAAUUAACAGAACCUCUGACCAAAUUGAUCCGGCCAAAGCCGAUUAACGAAACAAGUUACCCUAGGGAUAACAGCGCUAUCCCCUUUUAAAGUCCA